RNAcentral lists this long non-coding RNA (711 nucleotides) under Numida meleagris (helmeted guineafowl). RNAcentral's name for it is "lncRNA (ENSNMEG00000005527.1)". The record is from RNAcentral. Lineage: Eukaryota; Metazoa; Chordata; Aves; Galliformes; Numididae.
GUAGUACAACAGCUACAUCAGCUUUGCAACAGAGGUGAAAACACUACAGAUUUUCUGAUCUGUUUCAUCCCUAAGUACCCUGCUCUGGAAUGAAACUGGGGAAACUCCAGAAUUACUUUGACCCAAGUGUUCAUAGCAUUAACCCAGCUAGCUCUGUGUAGCCUUUUGCCACUUCCACUGAGUGGGAGGAAGGAAGCAAAACUGGGUCACUGUGUACUCUGGGUCAGAUUGUAGCUUCCAAGCUCUUACAUUUACCAAGAUCUUAAAAAAGGAGCAACUUUUUGCUGACCCUUCUUUCAGUGAAAACUGAUUACAAUAUCACAGUUAAGCUCAAAGACUUCUGCUGUAUUGAUCUCAACAGGAGCAACUUCAGUGAGUAUGGAUGUUAAUGAAAGACCACCGCCUUCUCUUCCUCCAAAGACUGACUCCUUUAUUCAGAGGGAGAUAAUGACAGAGAAGAUCAUGGCUGGGUCAUCUAUACCACCCUGUCUUCCUUCUAAAGCCAAUACGAACCUUCAUUUGCUCAUCUGGGAAUAUGCCAGCAAGAACCUGGACAUAGUCACCGUAUAAAGCAUACCAAAUGAACCUGUACUACUGAAGCAUGCUAGAACCAAAGCUAGAAGUAUCACCUCCAGAGAAAACUCAUCAUUUGGAGGUAGUCACCCACCCAGGACACUUCUAGGCAUUUGCCAUGUAACUGUCUUCCAAUCC